UUGCUUUGGCAGCACAUAUACUAAAAUUGGAAUAAUACAGAGAAGAUUAGCAUGGCCCCUGUGCAAGGAUGACAUGCAAAUUCAUGAAGCAUUCCAUAUUUAA
This is a small nuclear RNA of Peromyscus maniculatus bairdii (prairie deer mouse), 103 nucleotides long. Lineage: Eukaryota; Metazoa; Chordata; Mammalia; Rodentia; Cricetidae. The record is from RefSeq and is a predicted model, not a curated record.